UGGCACAUGAAGACAUCCGGCGUUUGAGACUGUUCUGUGUUAGAGAAGUGGAGAGGAGCCGGGUGCAGGCAAGUGUCCCCACAAAGCCUCUUCAGCUGAGAGCUACAGCAUCACAUGGGAUACAGGUGGGAGCAGACAAAGCCACAAAAGUCACAUGACACACAGCUCCCUGCUGGAAUGAGGCGGGCUGUGUGGGGACAACCCAGCUGCCACCCAUCACUACCAAACGCCGUGGACUAACUGAACACCUGUGCCACCCACUGGUCAAAGAUAGUUACUGCAUCUGGAGUAGAAAUCAGGUAAAAUUAUGGCGGAAUAUUUAUCAUUUGCUAAAUUUGGUAAUAUUUUUGCUUAUUACGUGAAUUCAAUGUUUGAGGAGGAUGCUAAUCUGCCAAUUACUGGCCUAUUUGCCAUAAUGGAAGUUAGCUUGCUGGUACAAAUAAUAUUACUAGCCAGAGGACUCAGGAAUAGGGAUAAGGAUAACCUCACCACCUACUUACAGGAAAUAACAGCUUUACGCAGUGAGGUUUUGGAGAACAGAUUAGGUCAGACCACAAUUGUGCAGCAAGUGGAACAGAAAUUGGAUGAUAAGCUUGGCUUUGUGUCCAAUACGCUAAAGACAGAGCUGUCUGUUACCCAAGAUGAGAUGCAGCGUAUUUAUGCCAUGUCUGAGGCCUUAGAGGCUAGGCUGUCAGAAGACCGUGAUGAGCUAAAGAAUAUCUGUAGCCAGCUAGAAACUCAGGCAAUGUUACCCAGAAAUUAGAUGCAAAGGUGCAAAAUACCCAGGAUAGGGUUGAAGAAUUGGACAAUGCCAUUCAAUCAAUUAUUGAAGUAUCCAAGGUAGCAGAUCAGAAAUUUGAGUCUAGAUUUGAAUGUUUGGAAGAUAAUUUACAGUACAGGGCUGACAGAUUACAUAGGUCCAUACGGUCGAUUGCUGAGGACUCAAAAUCAGCAAAUCAUGACCUCGAAUCUAGACUCCAAUACCUAGAAGGCAGUUUCCAUGCCAUCCAGAUGCUGCCUAAGGAUGAUCGUAUUAAAGACAUAGAAAAACAUGUAAAUGAGCAGUUAGAGCAAUUUACAGAUUCACUAACGUGCUUGGAAUCUUUUAUGAUUAAGGAGAUUGAAACUUUUCAAAAGGAUAUCAUUACUAGGCUUAAAGAUCAGUGGGAUGCCUCAGAAGCAGAAUCACUCCAAUCCCAGGCACCUACUCCACCCAGAUAUCGUGACUAUUCCUCUAAGGUUGUGACUCAUGCACCAUUAGUGUACCCAGCUACCAUGGUAGAAAAGCCAGCUUCUAAGAAACACCCUCAUGGACGGAUGGCUUAUGAAUGGUAACCUAUACAGCUGAAGGA
RNAcentral lists this long non-coding RNA (1352 nucleotides) under Cricetulus griseus (Chinese hamster). Its description in RNAcentral is "lncRNA (ENSCGRG00015029749.1)". The record is from RNAcentral. Lineage: Eukaryota; Metazoa; Chordata; Mammalia; Rodentia; Cricetidae.